UAACCUGCCCAAGAGAUCGGGAUAACACCUGGAAACAGAUGCUAAUACCGGAUAACAACAGAUGAUGCCUAUCAACUGUUUAAAAGAUGGUUCUGCUAUCACUCUUGGAUGGACCUGCGGUGCAUUAGCUAGUUGGUAGGGUAACGGCCUACCAAGGCGAUGAUGCAUAGCCGAGUUGAGAGACUGAUCGGCCACAUUGGGACUUAGACACGGCCCAAACUCCUACGGGAGGCAGCAGGA
RNAcentral lists this ribosomal RNA (240 nucleotides) under uncultured Lactobacillus sp. RNAcentral's name for it is "partial 16S ribosomal RNA". It matches the Rfam family "Bacterial small subunit ribosomal RNA", at positions 122 to 354 of the family's 1533-position model. Lineage: Bacteria; Bacillati; Bacillota; Bacilli; Lactobacillales; Lactobacillaceae. The record is from RNAcentral.